Solea senegalensis (Senegalese sole) is the source of this 1282-nucleotide long non-coding RNA. RefSeq lists it as uncharacterized. The transcript is spliced from 3 exons. Lineage: Eukaryota; Metazoa; Chordata; Actinopteri; Pleuronectiformes; Soleidae. The record is from RefSeq and is a predicted model, not a curated record.
UGUUAAGGUGGGUGGUGCUGAUGUUAAGAGGCGGUGCUGAUGUUAAGGUGGUACUGAUGUUAAGGUGGUGCUGAUGUUAAGAGCGGUGCUGAUGUUAAGGUGGUACUGAUGUUAAGGUGGUACUGAUGUUAAGGUGGUGCUGAUGUUAAGGUGGUCUGAUGUUAAGGUGGUACUGAUGUUAAGGUGGUGCUGAUGUUAAGGUGGUGCUGAUGUUAAGGUGCCCAAAGACGUGAAGCCCAAACCACGGUAUAACUUCAUAACUUCAUAACUUCAUGUUCCUCAUCUCGACGCAGGUUGUUGCUGAACUUUUUCCGAUUUCAAGAAAUAAUCAGAACCUUUAGAGCAAUGUUGUUCUUUUAUCUUAGUGUGGAUAUGUUGACCCCUGACCCUGUUGAAAAUAUAAUCUUGAAAUUGGUGGAGGACCAUAAUUGAUCACUUAAAGGAAUACUUAGGAACACUGAUUUGCAUGUGGCUUUGUAUUGCUAGAAUAGUGGUAGUGUUUUUUAAAAAUUGUGCUUCCCUCCCCAAAAAUCUGGUUUUCCCUGCACUGAGUCAAAUGACUCGCCAAUCGCGUCAUUUGACUCAGUGCAGGGCAAACGUCAGUUCCACACUUUUUAGACUCACCCGUAGGAGGAUGAGAACACGGUGUCCGCCAUCUUUGCUAACAGUUACGCUAACCGGCUCUCGCUCUACAGAGUAAACUGAGAACAACAAUGAUGGAAUGUAGUUUUCAAACUGAUACGGCUGCGAGGCAAAAGACCUGCAUUUCAGUGAAAACUAGAAGGCGGCGGGUCGCGACCAACACCGGCCGCUGGUCUCGCGGCGAGCACCGGUGGGUGGCAAGUAUUUUGUUUUGUAUUUUUAUAUUUAUUAUAUAUUUAAUUCCUCACAAGGAUUUGUGUGUUUACAGAGCAACUGUCUGCUUUGGGGGCAGUGAGCACAGUGCAUGUUGGGAGUUGUUGUAGUUCAUCUACAAGAGCCAAAAUGACAUUUUUCUGCCUUUCUUGGCCAAGAAGACACUUACUUCAAAUGUUAUUUCCCAUUUCUACGACAUAAAUGAGCCAGUUUUCAAAGACAUUCAUCGCAUGCCUUUAGUUCCGUCACAGGAUUUCAUUUCUCAUUUCCUCUGUAUCAGUAAGCUGUCACAACAUUUGUACUCUUAGUGUUUAGUCUCUUAAAACUUACAAAUACAAACCAUAUGAAGGUAGAAGUAGACCGAAAGAUUUCCAUUUACAAAUCCCUGUGUGUGUGUGUGUGUGUGUGUGUGUGUGUGUGUGUUUUG